This 384-nucleotide unclassified non-coding RNA is filed under the name soil metagenome. RNAcentral describes it as "partial contains 5.8S ribosomal RNA, internal transcribed spacer 2, and large subunit ribosomal RNA". The stretch from base 1 to 120 matches the Rfam family "5.8S ribosomal RNA", at positions 35 to 154 of the family's 154-position model. The record is from RNAcentral.
GAUGAAGAACGUAGUGAAAUGCGAUAGGUAAUGUGAAUUGCAGAAUUCAGUGAAUCAUCGAAUCUUUGAACGCACAUUGCGCCCUUUGGUAUUCCUUAGGGCAUGCCUGUACGAGCGUCACUACACACCUUAUCACAAUAUUUGUGGUCUUGGCAGGAGUGAAUUGCUGGUCUAUGGAAGUAUUCCAGCAGUACACAAUGCUAAAAAAUAUGGGAAGGUUACCAGAUAUGAACAACAGACUUUGUAAAUGGUUGUAGGACCUAGAUCAGUCACAAAUCAUGUCUGGUCCCUUACCUUAAGGACCCCCAUCCUAGAUGAACUAUGGGUUGACCUCGGAUCAGGUAGGAAUACCCGCUGAACUUAAGCAUAUCAAUAAGCGGAGGA